Molecule: long non-coding RNA, 761 nt
Organism: Mauremys reevesii (Reeves's turtle)
Lineage: Eukaryota; Metazoa; Chordata; Testudines; Geoemydidae
Exons: 4
Source: RefSeq, a predicted model, not a curated record
UCAAGGGUUGGCUAACGGGGGUUGAGAGAGGAGCCCUAAUCUUGCUGUGGGUCCCACUGCUGGCAGGGGCCAAGGCUCAGGGUUGCAGUAGCAUCCACACUGGCGGGACAGCUACGAAGUACUCAGCCAUGGCCACGACGUACUGGGUCCUGUGUAAAAGCCGGCCACGCAACCUCGCCCACUGCUUUCUGCAUCCAUGCCAUGACGUCUCUUUGAGCUACAGCGUCUCUUCUCUGAAGGAGCCCAGUCUCCAUGUCAAGGUUUCAUGUGAUGGAGAAUCCACCACAAUCCCCAGCUUCCAACCCCUGGGGUCUCAUCUGGCUUUUGGCGGCUAGAUUAAGAAGCAGUAUUAUCGAACAUCUCUUCCCUCCGAAGAUCUUUGAAGACAGUGAUCAAGUUAUCUUGUCACCUUCCCUUAGAUAAACCAAACAGAAUCCGAGCUGGUGGGUUCCAUCAACCGGGAGGAGGGAGAGACGAAUCAGCCAGCUGAUACCAUCCCCACUCCAGCCGCGUCUGUGGAACCUGCCUCUGCUGGCCUUUGUUUCCUCCUGCCAACUUCACGAUGGGAGAAAUAACAAGUCCAGAAGAACACGGCGGUGGCGGGUCUAACCUCACCGGCCACCUGGGGAGAAAACAAAAGGCGCGCGAGCCCCAGCUGCGCUCGGGGAGUGGAUCAGAAAGAUGGCAUCAUCUGAAGCCUCAUUCAACUUCCGAAGCUUGAAAACACUCUAAUUUCCAUGUGCCGGGUGUCCGCCGCCGCU